Molecule: ribosomal RNA, 519 nt
Filed under: uncultured eukaryote
Lineage: Eukaryota
Description: SSU rRNA
Rfam family: Eukaryotic small subunit ribosomal RNA
Source: RNAcentral
AGGGCACCACCAGGAGUGGAGCCUGCGGCUUAAUUUGACUCAACACGGGAAAUCUCACCAGGCCCGGACACCGGAAGGAUUGACAGAUUGAGAGCUCUUUCUUGAUUCGGUGGGUGGUGGUGCAUGGCCGUUCUUAGUUGGUGGAGCGAUUUGUCUGGUUAAUUCCGAUAACGAACGAGACUCUGGCCUACUAACUAGACGUUAGAUCCCUUUGUGGGUCUAUCGCAGCUUCUUAGAGGGACGGGCGGCGUUUAGCCGCACGAGAUUGAGCAAUAACAGGUCUGUGAUGCCCUUAGAUGUUCUGGGCUGCACGCGCGCUACACUGAAGGAAUCAGCGUGUGCUCCCUGUCCGAAAGGACUGGGAAACCCGUUGAACCUCCUUCGUGAUGGGGAUUGGGGAUUGCAAUUAUUCCCCAUGAACGAGGAAUUCCCAGUAGGCGCGAGUCAUAAGCUUGCGUCGAUUACGUCCCUGCCCUUUGUACACACCGCCCGUCGCUACUACCGAUCGAGUGAUUUAGU